GAAUUCGAUUCAGGCGUAACACAUGCAAGUCGAGCGGUAGAGAUUCUUCGGAAUCUUGUGAGCGGCGUACGGGUGCGGAACACGUGUGCAACCUACCUUUAUCUGGGGGAUAGCCUUUCGAAAGGAAGAUUAAUACCCCAUAAUAUAUUGAUUGGCAUCAAUCGAUAUUGAAAACUCCGGUGGAUAGAGAUGGGCACGCGCAAGAUUAGCUAGUUGGUGAGGUAACGGCUCACCAAGGCAAUGAUCUUUAGGGGGCCUGAGAGGGUGAUCCCCCACACUGGUACUGAGACACGGACCAGACUCCUACGGGAGGCAGCAGUGAGGAAUAUUGGACAAUGGGUGCAAGCCUGAUCCAGCCAUCCCGCGUGAAGGACGACUGCCCUAUGGGUUGUAAAGUGUCUUUUGUACAGGGAUAAACCUACCCUCGUGAGG
Molecule: ribosomal RNA, 432 nt
Filed under: uncultured bacterium
Lineage: Bacteria
Description: bacterial SSU rRNA
Rfam family: Bacterial small subunit ribosomal RNA
Source: RNAcentral